UACGAAGGGUGCAAGCGUUACUCGGAAUUACUGGGCGUAAAGCGUGCGUAGGUGGUUCGUUAGGUCUGAUGUGAAAGCCCUGGGCUCAACCUGGGAAUGGCAUUGGAAACUGGCGACCUAGAGUGCGGUAGAGGGUAGUGGAAUUCCCGGUGUAGCAGUGAAAUGCGUAGAGAUCGGGAGGAACAUCCGUGGCGAAGGCGACUACCUGGACCAGCACUGACACUGAGGCACGAAAGCGUGGGGAGCAAACAGG
Molecule: ribosomal RNA, 253 nt
Filed under: uncultured bacterium
Lineage: Bacteria
Description: partial 16S ribosomal RNA
Rfam family: Bacterial small subunit ribosomal RNA
Source: RNAcentral